GAUUAUUUAGUUUAAUAAAAACAGAUGUUUUGAAAGCAUUAAAUAAGAACAAGUUUCUUAAUAAUCG
Molecule: transfer RNA, 67 nt
Filed under: Gaetice depressus
Lineage: Eukaryota; Metazoa; Arthropoda; Malacostraca; Decapoda; Varunidae
Description: tRNA-Ser
Rfam family: tRNA
About the family: Transfer RNA (tRNA) molecules are approximately 80 nucleotides in length. Their secondary structure includes four short double-helical elements and three loops (D, anti-codon, and T loops).
Source: RNAcentral